AUGAACGCUAGCGGCAGGCUUAAUACAUGCAAGUCGUGGGGCAGCAGGUUUGUAGCAAUACAGAUGCUGGCGACCGGCAAACGGGUGCGGAACACGUACAGAACCUUCCUUUGAGCGGGGAAUAGCCCAGAGAAAUUUGGAUUAAUACCCCAUAGUAUAAUGAAGUGGCAUCACUUUAUUAUUAAAGAUUUAUCACUCGAAGAUGGCUGUGCGGCUGAUUAGGUAGUUGGCGGGGUAAAGGCCCACCAAGCCUGCGAUCAGUAACUGGUGUGAGAGCACGACCAGUCACACGGGCACUGAGACACGGGCCCGACUCCUACGGGAGGCAGCAGUAAGGAAUAUUGGUCAAUGGAGGCAGCUCUGAACCAGCCAUGCCGCGUGGAGGAUGAAGGUCCUCUGGAUUGUAAACUUCUUUUAUAUGGGACGAAAAAAGGCUUUUCUAAGUCGUCUGACGGUACCAUAUGAAUAAGCACCGGCUAACUCCGUG
RNAcentral lists this ribosomal RNA (487 nucleotides) under uncultured bacterium. RNAcentral's name for it is "bacterial SSU rRNA". It matches the Rfam family "Bacterial small subunit ribosomal RNA", at positions 29 to 507 of the family's 1533-position model. The record is from RNAcentral.